CCAGACUCCUACGGGAGGCAGCAGUGAGGAAUAUUGGUCAAUGGUCGGGAGACUGAACCAGCCAAGCCGCGUGAGGGAUUAAGGUACAGAGUAUCGUAAACCUCUUUUGUCAGGGAACAAAGGCGGGGACGUGUCCCCGGAUGAGUGUACCUGAAGAAAAAGCAUCGGCUAACUCCGUGCCAGCAGCCGCGGUAAUACGGAGGAUGCGAGCGUUAUCCGGAUUUAUUGGGUUUAAAGGGUGCGCGGGCGGUGUGUAAAGUCGGCGGUCAAAGCCGGGGGCUCAACCCCGUCGAGCCGUUGAAACUGGCAGACUUGAGUUGGCGAGAAGUACGCGGAAUGCGCGGUGUAGCGGUGAAAUGCAUAGAUAUCGCGCAGAACUCCGAUUGCGAAGGCAGCGUACCGGCGCCAGACUGACGCUGAGGCACGAAAGCGUGGGGAUCGAACAGGAUUAGAUACCCUAGUA
RNAcentral lists this ribosomal RNA (463 nucleotides) under uncultured bacterium. RNAcentral describes it as "bacterial SSU rRNA". It matches the Rfam family "Bacterial small subunit ribosomal RNA", at positions 331 to 792 of the family's 1533-position model. The record is from RNAcentral.